AAUAUCUGAAACGGCUAGUUAGGGGGAUCUCAAUAAUUCCACCCAAAGCUCGAUCAUAUUAGUGUAGGAAUCACAAGUUGGACCAUAGAGAAGGUAAAUAAUGGCAUAUGAAGAUUCUACAUCUUUUAUUCUUUUAAAUAUAUGGCUAUAUAAAGUGGACCUUAUUAUUAGUCCAAACGUCAUUCUGCAAUAUAAUAUACAAAGCAAUUAAUUAAGUGUAUCUCACAGUAGUUGUCCAUCAAUGGCAGAGCUUGCAAAGAUUGGGAAAAUUGGAUUUUCCCUUAUAGAAGGAAGAAAUAGUAAGGGAAGAACAAAGUCUUGUUCUGGUAGUGAGGAACCAAAACAAGUUUGUGUUUACAGAUAUUAUCCACAACCUGUUUAUUUUGUUCAGGUUAUUCCACCUUCUGCUACUACUGAAGCCAGAGUCAUUUUAAGUCAAUUUCCAGAGAGCAAAGCAACUGCUGUGGCUUUCUAAAGUUAAUUAGCUAGGACUAGCCUAUAUGUAUGCAUGUUAUCUACGUCUUGACAGAAUUAAAAUUGUAUUAGCUAACGAUGUAUGUACUUCUCUUCUAUGUAGUUUUUCUUCACUAAGAAAA
Molecule: long non-coding RNA, 596 nt
Filed under: Capsicum annuum
Lineage: Eukaryota; Viridiplantae; Streptophyta; Magnoliopsida; Solanales; Solanaceae
Description: long non-coding RNA (CANN_LNC006462)
Source: RNAcentral